RNAcentral lists this ribosomal RNA (497 nucleotides) under uncultured bacterium. RNAcentral describes it as "partial 16S ribosomal RNA". It matches the Rfam family "Bacterial small subunit ribosomal RNA", at positions 28 to 507 of the family's 1533-position model. The record is from RNAcentral.
GAUGAACGCUGGCGGCGUGCCUAAUACAUGCAAGUCGAGCGAACGGACGGGAAGCUUGCUUCUCUGAUGUUAGCGGCGGACGGGUGAGUCACACGUGGAUAACCUACCUAUAAGACUGGGAUAACUUCGGGACACCGGAUCUAAUACCGGAUGAUAUUUUGAACCGCAUGGUUCAAAAGUGAAAGACGGUCUUGCUGUAACUUCUAGAUGGAUCCGCGCUGCAUUAGCUAGUUGGUACGGUAACGGCUUAGCAGGGCAACGAGGCAUAGGCGACCGGUGAGGGGGAUCGGCGACACUGGAGCUGGGCCACGGACCAGACUCCUGCGGGACGGAGCAGUAUGGAAUCUUCCGCAAUGGGCGGAAGCCUUACGGAGCGACGCGACGUGAGAGAUGAAGGUCUUCGGUUCGUAAAGCUCUGUUAUUAGGGAAGAACCUAUGUGUAAUUUACUGUGCAGAGCGUGACGGUACCGAGUCAGAAAGCAACGGCUAACUACGUG